AACGCACAUUGCGCCCGCUAGUAUUCUGGCGGGCAUGCCUGUCUGAGCGUCAUUUCACCACUCGUCACCAGCUUGCUGGAGGCGGCGUUGGGGAUCAGCCUCCCGCACCGGGUCGCUGUCCCCUAAAUGAAGUGGCGGUCGCGCUGUGACCUCCUCCGCGUAGUAAUUGCUCUCGCGGGCGGAUAGCAGGGUGGCCACGCCGUAAAACCCCAACUUUUAAUGGUUGACCUCAGAUCAGGUAGGAAUACCCGCUGAACUUAA
This 261-nucleotide unclassified non-coding RNA is filed under the name uncultured fungus. Its description in RNAcentral is "sequence contains ITS2". The stretch from base 1 to 52 matches the Rfam family "5.8S ribosomal RNA", at positions 103 to 154 of the family's 154-position model. Lineage: Eukaryota; Fungi. The record is from RNAcentral.